This 460-nucleotide ribosomal RNA is filed under the name uncultured bacterium. Its description in RNAcentral is "partial 16S ribosomal RNA". It matches the Rfam family "Bacterial small subunit ribosomal RNA", at positions 338 to 795 of the family's 1533-position model. The record is from RNAcentral.
CCUACGGGUGGCAGCAGUGAGGAAUAUUGGUCAAUGGACGAAAGUCUGAACCAGCCAAGUAGCGUGAAGGAUGACUGCCCUAUGGGUUGUAAACUUCUUUUAUAUGGGAAUAAAAUGUACUACGUGUGGGAUUCUGUAUGUACCAUAUGAAUAAGGAUCGGCUAACUCCGUGCCAGCAGCCGCGGUAAUACGGAGGAUCCGAGCGUUAUCCGGAUUUAUUGGGUUUAAAGGGUGCGUAGGUGGAUUGUUAAGUCAGUUGUGAAAGUUUGCGGCUUAACCGGAGAAUUGCAGUUGAGACUGGCAGUCUAGAGAGUAGUAGAGGUAGGCGGAAUGUGUGGUGUAGCGGUGAAAUGCUUAGAGAUCACGCAGAACUCCGAUUGCGAAGGCAGCUCACUGAACUACAACUGACGCUGAGGCACGAAAGUGUGGGUAUCAAACAGGAUUAGAUACCCCGGUAGUC